GGCAGACGGGUGAGCAACAUGUACGUAUCUGCCCUUUGGCCUGGAAUAACAUGAGGAAACUUGUGCUAAUACCGGAUAAGUCUUUACGGAGAAAGCUUUAUGCACCAUUGGAUGAGCCUGCACUUGAUUAGUUUGUUGGUGGGGUAAUGGCCUACCAAGACUGUGAUCAAUAGCUGAUUUGAGAGGAUGAUCAGCCACAUUGGGACUGAGACACGGCCCAAACUCCUACGGGAGGCAGCAGUGGGGAAUCUUGCACAAUGGAUGAAACUCUGAUGCAGCGAUGCCGCGUGAGUGAAGAAGGCCCUUGGGUUGUAAAGCUCUUCCGUCGGGGAAGAAAAUGACUGUACCCGAAUAAGAAGGUCCGGCUAACUUCGUGCCAGCAGCCGCGGUAAUACGAAGGGACCUAGCGUAGUUCGGAAUUACUGGGCUUAAAGAGUUCGUAGGUGGUUGAAAAAGUUGGUAGUGAAAUCCCAGAGCUUAACUCUUGAACUGCCAUCAAAACUUUUCAGCUAGAGUAUGAUAGAGGAAAGCAGAAUUUCUAGUGUAGAGGUGAAAUUCGUAGAUAUUAGAAAGAAUACCAAUUGCGAAGGCAGCUUUCUGGAUCAUUACUGACACUGAGGAACGAAAGCAUGGGUAGCGAAGAGGAUUAGAUACCCUCGUAAUCCAUGCCGUAAACGAUGUGUGUUAGACGUUUGGAAAUUUAUUUUCAGUGUCGCAGCGAAAGCGAUAAACACAC
This 736-nucleotide ribosomal RNA is filed under the name uncultured marine bacterium. RNAcentral's name for it is "bacterial SSU rRNA". It matches the Rfam family "Bacterial small subunit ribosomal RNA", at positions 97 to 869 of the family's 1533-position model. The record is from RNAcentral.